CAUGCAAGUCGAGGGGCAGCAUGGUCUUAGCUUGCUAAGGCCGAUGGCGACCGGCGCACGGGUGAGUAACACGUAUCCAACCUGCCGUCUACUCUUGGACAGCCUUCUGAAAGGAAGAUUAAUACAAGAUGGCAUCAUGAGUCCGCAUGUUCACAUGAUUAAAGGUAUUCCGGUAGACGAUGGGGAUGCGUUCCAUUAGAUAGUAGGCGGGGUAACGGCCCACCUAGUCUUCGAUGGAUAGGGGUUCUGAGAGGAAGGUCCCCCACAUUGGAACUGAGACACGGUCCAAACUCCUACGGGAGGCAGCGGUGAGGAAUAUUGGUCAAUGGGCGCAGGCCUGAACCAGCCAAGUAGCGUGAAGGAUGACUGCCCUAUGGGUUGUAAACUUCUUUUAUAAAGGAAUAAAGUCGGGUAUGUAUACCCGUUUGCAUGUACUUUAUGAAUAAGGAUCGGCUAACUCCGUGCCAGCAGCCGCGGUAAUACGGAGGAUCCGAGCGUUAUCCGGAUUUAUUGGGUUUAAAGGGAGCGUAGAUGGAUGUUUAAGUCAGUUGUGAAAGUUUGCGGCUCAACCGUAAAAUUGCAGUUGAUACUGGAUAUCUUGAGUGCAGUUGAGGCAGGCGGAAUUCGUGGUGUAGCGGUGAAAUGCUUAGAUAUCACGAAGAACUCCGAUUGCGAAGGCAGCCUGCUAAGCUGCAACUGACAUUGAGGCUCGAAAGUGUGGGUAUCAAACAGGAUUAGAUACCCUGGUAGUCCACACGGUAAACGAUGAAUACUCGCUGUUUGCGAUAUACGGCAAGCGGCCAAGCGAAAGCGUUAAGUAUUCCACCUGGGGAGUACGCCGGCAACGGUGAAACUCAAAGGAAUUGACGGGGGCCCGCACAAGC
This 884-nucleotide ribosomal RNA is filed under the name uncultured bacterium. RNAcentral describes it as "bacterial SSU rRNA". It matches the Rfam family "Bacterial small subunit ribosomal RNA", at positions 54 to 930 of the family's 1533-position model. The record is from RNAcentral.